This 222-nucleotide ribosomal RNA is filed under the name uncultured fungus. Its description in RNAcentral is "partial 28S ribosomal RNA". It matches the Rfam family "Eukaryotic large subunit ribosomal RNA", at positions 1 to 220 of the family's 3401-position model. Lineage: Eukaryota; Fungi. The record is from RNAcentral.
UGACCUCAAAUCGGGUGAGACUACCCGCUGAACUUAAGCAUAUCAAUAAGCGGAGGAAAAGAAACUAACAAGGAUUCCCCUAGUAACUGCGAGUGAAGCGGGAAAAGCUCAAAUUUAAAAUCUGGCGGUCUUUGGCUGUCCGAGUUGUAAUUUAGAGAAGCGUCUUCCGCGCCGGACCGUGCACAAGUCUCCUGGAAUGGAGCGUCAUAGAGGGUGAGAAUC